UGUGGCUGCCGCCUAUUGGCUAAAGCCGAGGGUCAGCCCCAACGUGGCCCAAUCGGAGCCCGGAUCCACGAAUGGGGAAGAGAAGCUGAACUGCUGUGCAGAGUCGUGGACCGAGGAGGGCGGAGCCGAGACGAACUCUGAGGACAGACUGAUGCAAGAGCCUGCAGUUGCGUCACCUGGGAGCACAAAAACAGAAACUGAACUGAGUUCAUUCCACUUAGUAUCUGCUACCCUGCCUGGCUUCAAUUCCAUGGAACAAGAUAUACCUGUGUCAGGUACCAUCAUUUCCCUGCCUCCUUUUUUGUGCUGUCUCCCUCUAUUUGAUUGUAAGCUCCUUGAGGGCAGGAACUGGCUUUCUUUUUAUUCUUUGUAUCCCCAGUGCUUAUCACAGUGACUGGUACAUAGUGACUGAAUAAAUGUUAAUUAAAUUGGGAUUGGAUCUCAAGACUCUACAAGAGCACCAGUUCUUCAGGCCCAUCAUAGAGCUACAUGGAAGGGGCAAUUUCAUGAGGAUUCCUCAAGAGGAGAAAAGCUCUUCAAAUAACUAAGAGCUGAAAUGGCCACUAAAGAAGAUGUAUUUCCAUCUGCUUUGCUGCAGCACCCGAAGGACCAUUGGGACUUUCCAUCUGACUUACAGCUGAAACCUUCCUGUUUCCCCCAAUUAGAA
Molecule: long non-coding RNA, 667 nt
Organism: Vombatus ursinus (common wombat)
Lineage: Eukaryota; Metazoa; Chordata; Mammalia; Diprotodontia; Vombatidae
Exons: 3
Source: RefSeq, a predicted model, not a curated record